ACUCCUACGGGAGGCAGCAGUGGGGAAUAUUGCACAAUGGGCGCAAGCCUGAUGCAGCAACGCCGCGUGAGCGAUGAAGGCCUUCGGGUCGUAAAGCUCUGUCCUCAAGGAAGAAUAAAUGACGGUACUUGAGGAGGAAGCCCGGCUAACUACGUGCCAGCAGCCGCGGUAAUACGUAGGGGGCAAGCGUUAUCCGGAAUCACUGGGGCGUAAAGGGGUGCGUAGGCGGUUUUUCAAGUCAGAAGUGAAAGGCUAUGGCUCAACCAUAGUAAGCUUUUGAAACUGUUAAACUUGAGUGCAGGAGAGGAAAGUGGAAUUCCUAGUGUAGAGGUGAAAUUCGUAGAUAUUAGGAGGAACACCAGUGGCGAAGGCGACUUUCUGGACUGUAACUGACGCUGAGGCACGAAAGCGUGGGGAGCGAACAGGAUUAGAUACCCUGGUAGCACAGAG
This 450-nucleotide ribosomal RNA is filed under the name uncultured bacterium. RNAcentral describes it as "bacterial SSU rRNA". It matches the Rfam family "Bacterial small subunit ribosomal RNA", at positions 335 to 799 of the family's 1533-position model. The record is from RNAcentral.